Molecule: ribosomal RNA, 468 nt
Filed under: uncultured bacterium
Lineage: Bacteria
Description: partial 16S ribosomal RNA
Rfam family: Bacterial small subunit ribosomal RNA
Source: RNAcentral
GACGAACGCUGGCGGCGUGCUUAACACAUGCAAGUCGAACGGACAAGCUCCAGCUUGCUGGCUUGGAUCAUUGCCGAAGGGGUGAGUAUCACGUGAGCAACAUCCCCCUGUCUCUCUGGUAUGCCUUCGAAACGCCGUCUCUUAUUCCAUAUGAUAUAUUUCCGCAUGUGCAUCUUCUGUAAAGUUCUUCGGUUGGGGAUGUGCUCGCUGCCUAUCAGCUUGUUUGUGAGGUAAGGGCUCACCAAGGCGACGACGGGUAGGCGGCCUGAGAGGGCGAACGGCCACACUGGGACUGAGACACGGCGCAGAAUCCUACGGGAGGCAGCAGGGGAGAAUAUGGCACAAUGGGCGAAAGCCUGAUGCAGCGACGCCGCGAGAGGGAUGACGGCCUUCGGGUGAUAAACAACUUUCAACAGGGAAGAAGAGAAAGUGACGGUACCUGCAGAAGAAGCACCGGCUAACUACGUG